UCAGGCAAGCCAAAUUCGACAUGCUAAAGCAAAGGAAGACCUGCACACUAGAGCCAGCUCCCUUUGUCAAAGUUUGACACAAAUGAGGAGGGGAAAGACCUCAGUUUUCUUACCUACAAAAACAAGAGCAUCUGGCUCAUCCGGCAAGGUAGUCUGCCUAAUCACAGUGAUCAGGACGCUAAGCCAGGACAAACCCACGUUUAAGAUAUCCGCCUCCAAAAAGAACUAAACAAAGAGAAAAAUGGAGAUUUGAAGGUUGCUUUUUGUUUGUUUUUUUAUCCCAAUUUCAUCUCAAUUCCAGUUCUACUCAGUGCAGUACAAAAAUAGUAAAAUUCAAAAUAUUAUGUUUUCUGGUAAAUAUUACUUAACUUCAAGCAUAAA
RNAcentral lists this long non-coding RNA (381 nucleotides) under Rattus norvegicus (Norway rat). RNAcentral describes it as "long non-coding RNA NONRATT005791". Lineage: Eukaryota; Metazoa; Chordata; Mammalia; Rodentia; Muridae. The record is from RNAcentral.